This 25-nucleotide non-coding RNA is filed under the name Cricetulus griseus (Chinese hamster). Lineage: Eukaryota; Metazoa; Chordata; Mammalia; Rodentia; Cricetidae. The record is from RNAcentral.
AGCUUCUGGAAUCGGGUGACUCUUU